AAUUAGAAGAAGAUAGCUGCUAACUGAGUGGCUGACGGUCCUGCCUCUCGAGUUGGAGGCAUCUUGACGUAGUUGCUGGGAGCCUG
This 86-nucleotide small RNA is filed under the name Pan troglodytes (chimpanzee). Its description in RNAcentral is "processed transcript". The record is from RNAcentral. Lineage: Eukaryota; Metazoa; Chordata; Mammalia; Primates; Hominidae.